This is a long non-coding RNA of Marmota flaviventris (yellow-bellied marmot), 859 nucleotides long. RefSeq lists it as uncharacterized. The record is from RefSeq and is a predicted model, not a curated record. Lineage: Eukaryota; Metazoa; Chordata; Mammalia; Rodentia; Sciuridae.
UGCCCGAGGAACCCAAUGUGACUGGGAGUAAACCCUGCAGUUUCUGUGCUUCGGUCCGGGCAGCCUGGCCUAGCAGCUUCCUCUCAUUGGCUGAGCCUCAUGAGGCGAUGUGGCAGCAGGGCCCCGCCUUCCACUGGCUGCCAGGAGAUGGGCGCAAGGCCAAGUCUCACGGCUGGCGAUUGGGGAGCCCCGAGCAGCCUGCUCAGCCUGUGACAAGAGAUGAAAGGACCAAGGGAAAUAUGCCAGAAGAUUCGUCUUCUGCUACCUCGAAGGAGCCUCUUCCACUCACCAGGGCAUGAGGCGGCCUAGGCGGGUCCAAGAAGAUUUGCUAAUGCAGAAGCCCACCAGAGGAUCAGUGAAGGCAUCCCAGGCUCGACCCACGAACAGGAUGAUGGAAGCAGGGAAAGGGUUCACCUGGAAGGGGGAAGAGGGAAAGAGACAACUCCGUCAUUCUUUGAUUCGCCUCAGUCCUAACUGCAAAACAGGGACUCCCUCCCUGCCUCAGCCAGGCCUUAAGCCCCUAUGCUGCUCCCAUAUGCACCUUCAACAUCUUCAUUUUCCUUAUUAAUAAUGACAAUAGUGGACCUGGGGGUAUAACUCAAUGGUAGAUUACUUGCCUAGCAUGUGUGAAGCCCUGGGUUCCAUCCCCAGGGGAAAAAAAUGACAAUAGCAUUUCUCUGAUAACAGUAGCUCUGUGUACUCCCUUAGAAGCUUUCCUGGAUCUAUUUCCUCCCCUUUGCUGCCCUUGAAAAUACUCCUAUCAAGUAGAAUGAAUCCAAAAUCAUUUCCUUCCCUCCCUUUCACAUCCCUGAGACUCUGACCACCUGAAAUCAGAAUUAACAUUCACUGGGUAUACACA